This is a long non-coding RNA of Carassius auratus (goldfish), 514 nucleotides long. RefSeq lists it as uncharacterized. The transcript is spliced from 3 exons. The record is from RefSeq and is a predicted model, not a curated record. Lineage: Eukaryota; Metazoa; Chordata; Actinopteri; Cypriniformes; Cyprinidae.
GAAGAAACAAACUCUACACCUUAGAUAACCUGUGGGGCCAGCGAGGGAAAGAGGGAUUCAGUGGAGGAAAUCCUGCACCCAUCUGAGUCCCAGUCUCCCAUGAGAAAUUAUUCCUGGCUCACUUGCUGUGAGCAGAAGCUGGAGAUAUACGCUCAUACUGUAAUUACAGGAUGCAUGGAGCAUGACCUGUCAGACUGAGAGAAGUGCCUCGGUCGCUCCUUCAUCCUUCUCUCUUUCUCUCCGCACUGAUGUGUGUCCACAGCCCACUCUUGAACCACCUGGAGGCCUGUGUGUGUGUGUGUGUGUGUGUGUGUGUGUGUUGUAUAGUGGAUGACAGGCGCUCUCACUCUCGCUGUGGGUCACUGUCAGAGAGGCAGCAGGUGUUACACAGAUUCUCCAGCCAGAUGAAUCCACAUUCUCAUGCCUGUUUACUCAUUUGAUCAGUAUUCAUGGUUAAUUCAAUUAGAAAUUCUGAAUAUUAAAAUCAGGCUUUAAAAAGUCAUAGGUCAUAGUG